UUUCGUGUGGUGUCCCGCAGGGGUCGGU
This 28-nucleotide small RNA is filed under the name Bombyx mori (domestic silkworm). Its description in RNAcentral is "ovarian small RNA-38344". The record is from RNAcentral. Lineage: Eukaryota; Metazoa; Arthropoda; Insecta; Lepidoptera; Bombycidae.